RNAcentral lists this ribosomal RNA (253 nucleotides) under uncultured Nocardioidaceae bacterium. RNAcentral describes it as "partial 16S ribosomal RNA". It matches the Rfam family "Bacterial small subunit ribosomal RNA", at positions 524 to 776 of the family's 1533-position model. Lineage: Bacteria; Bacillati; Actinomycetota; Actinomycetes; Propionibacteriales; Nocardioidaceae. The record is from RNAcentral.
UACGUAGGGUGCGAGCGUUGUCCGGAAUUAUUGGGCGUAAAGGGCUCGUAGGCGGUUUGUCGCGUCGGGCGUGAAAUCCACCAGCUUAACUGGUGGUCUGCGUUCGAUACGGGCAGACUAGAGGUAUGCAGGGGAGAACGGAAUUCCUGGUGUAGCGGUGAAAUGCGCAGAUAUCAGGAGGAACACCGGUGGCGAAGGCGGUUCUCUGGGCAUUACCUGACGCUGAGGAGCGAAAGUGUGGGGAGCGAACAGG